RNAcentral lists this long non-coding RNA (4152 nucleotides) under Zea mays. Its description in RNAcentral is "long non-coding RNA (ZMAY_LNC003532)". The record is from RNAcentral. Lineage: Eukaryota; Viridiplantae; Streptophyta; Magnoliopsida; Poales; Poaceae.
AUCAUGAAUAAAUAUUGAUAAUAGUAAAUUACAUUAGUACCUUCGGCUUGACAGAAAGGUACGAAAUCAAAUACGACGUGCGAGUGAAUACAAAUCCGCGUGAACAGUACUGUGGUACUAUUCAUCUAUUUAUUAGCACGGGACGCAGCCCAGACGAAAUUACAUUUGUGUCCUUGAUAACUAAUGAUAACCAAAACACAAAUUAUCAUGGACUAAACGAUCUUUUACUCUUUAAGUCGGUGCUGCCCUUCGUCUCAAGGCGUCGUCAUACCGAAGCUCCCUGGAUUGUAGCUUUGGCUUAUACCUUCGUAUUGUGUUUGCUCGCAUAUCACCCUGCCGAAGGUGUUUCUGCUUGGAGGAUCUUCGGCGAAGAAGGCCCGCAACAACAACAUAUAUAAUAACAGAGUGUAUAGAGAUAAAUGUCACAAUAACAUCAGAGUAUUUAUUACAUAGUAGAAGUCUUAUUACAAAAUAAAAGAUAAAUAUAAAACGAACUAAGGAUCAUCCUUGGCGCAAGUCAUCUGAGAAACGCCACCUAGAUCCGAUCAAACUCCUCGCUUUGUGGCUCCUCCUAAACCACCCGUUCUUCUCCUGUGGGGGGUGUGAGACAGCAAGGGUGAGCUCACACAUGAUCAUAGCUCAACAAGUUUUGAGGAAACCAGUGGGCAUGAACUCACCAAAGGUGGGAGUCCAUGUGAUGUGUAAGGCUAAUCAACAAUAGGGGUUAAAGCUGAGCAUUGCUUUUAUUUAGUUGGUCAAAGUUUUAAUUGCAGUUACUAAAUGUAAGUAAAUACCAAACCUUAAUAAAAAUAAUAGAACAAAAUUAAUACAUAAUCCCAUGCAAUGCAAAUGACAAAUUGAAUUUAAGUUCCAUAAAUUAAUCAUGCGAGAGUCCUGAGCUGCUCAUGACCGUGAGCUCGGCUAGUAUACCAGUUUUACACUCUGAAGAGGUUGUACCGUGUACCCACAAGUCAUGUUACCCAUCUGCCACGGGGUUCUACGGGCCCCAUACACCUCUACCAAGGAAGCAAGGCAGGGUAACACUACGAAGCCUUUACAAAGUUCCACUAGCUUCCGAAAACCCGCUACAGUUUAUGGGAAGAGCACUUGCAAGAAUCCCCGACUGACCGCCAUCGUAGCAAAAUCAACCCGAGAACCUCCUUGCAUGCAACUCCCCUACUGCCCUUGCCCCUUUCGGGUAAGAUAGUCUUCCACUAUCUUUCCUAAUUAGUCAGCCAAGGGCAUCCCAUACUACCCUUGUGGUGGCACGUGUUUCUCAAGUUAAGCUCCAUGUUCCAAUUAACAUUAAUGAUCUUGACAUGAACAUAAAUAGAAUAACAAAAUAACUGGAACAUGAAUAUAUAUCCCAAAACCAUGUAAAGCAAUAGCAAAACUACCCAAGUGAUUUAGGGAUAACAAGGUAAUAUGGAUAAACAGACUAAGGUGACCUAUUGGGUCCCAUCAAAAUUAAACCUAUGCAUGAAUAAUGACAUUAAAGAACAUUAUUGGGUAUAAAAGUGGUCAAGGGCACAGCUUGCCUUCAAUGAGCUCUUGCUCAGCUACUUCUAUCUGCUGGUCACUAGGAUCCUCAGUCACAGUCUCCUCUACUCGCCACAAUACAAACAAGCACAGUAUAUAGAGAAAAUUAACAUCACACCAAACAUGUAAACAAAAUACAUAAUAAUAAUCUACACAUUAAAAUAAAAUCCUAGGAACAGGAAUCAUAUUUUUUGGAGUUAUAGAUUUUAAGAUAUGAAUUUCCAAAGGUUUUACAUGCUUAAAAUAGGAUUAAAUGGGAAAUUAAUUUCCUUAUUGUUUUCAUGUCAAAACAGAGACUCUAAGUGACAAAGAAUAAUAUUACAAAAUUUUAGAAACUGGAAUGGGUUAAUUUGGAGUUCAUAUAAAUUUUCUAUGAAUUAUACAAUUCCUAGCAUUUAUUUUCAUAUUAAAUACUUAAUUUCUAAUCCAUUUAUACAAUUUAAAUAGGCUCUGGACUGGACGCAUUAAAUCUGAGAAAGGCAGGGGCCUUGGUGUAAGACAUCCCAGACACAGAGCACAUGCGCUUAGGACGACGGGUUAGUUUUAAUAAAACAGAGGAUCUUAUGUGCAAAACUGCAGCGGCGAAGGGGUAUGCACGGUUCCUGGCCGCUAGAUCUAACGCCGAGGGUCUGGAUUAGAUCAGAAUUUAAACGAACCAGUAAGUAAAUCUAUACGUUGAAUCUGAGAUCAACGGCGGAUAUUCUAUGCACCCCAGACCUGUCUUACACUGUUCGAUCGAGAUCAACGGCGCAGACCGAAUGAGGCGAAGGGAUACGUGCCGCACUAAUCUGAACCGUUCAGAGGGGAAAUCUACGGCCCUGGUUUAAAAUGUCGUCCACUCAUCGCGUCCACACGAUCACGAUCCAGCGGCGCCUAUCAUUUAGCCAAACUGGUACCCUUGAUCUAAUCCUAUCCGUUCGCCACAGAUCAACGGACCAGGUCACGUCUCCUACCUCUGCCAAAAUCCACCACGGCGGCGAUUCUUCCUGCGGCCGCGCCCCUCACCGGUGAUAGCCAUCUGGUGAAUUGAAACCUAAUCCUAUGUUCCAAUACGCGCAGAUGGUACAAUGCGUCAAGGUGAAUACGUAUGAGCAUCACGUACCAGGAAUUGCAGAGUAGGGGUCCCAAGCACCGAUGAACUGCGGAAGCACGGCAGAUGAGCCCGACGGCGAGAAAUUCCCCCACAACCGAUCGCGAAUCUUCCACCGGGAUGCGUCGAGAAGGCACAACACCACAGUACGGACCUUCCCCCAAGGCUUUUCGGGGCCGGAGAUAGGUGUGGCACGAUUUUGAGGGCGGCGGCAAUGGUGUUUGGCGAAUGGCCCUCUCCCUCUACCCUAUCGGUAGCUGCACAGAAACGGCUCCAAUGCGGUGCAGACACUCGGAGCGCAGGGUGGAGUAAGGCGGCGGCCGAGUUUAUAGCCAGGCGCCCAAGACCCUGCAAGCGCAAAACUGGCGGAAGCUUCGCGCAAGAAGUGGUGAGGUCCGUUCACGCAGCGCCGUUUUCGUGGAGACGAUGACCGGUGGUCGAGGGACCCACACGUCAAGUGUACACAGAGCGAGCGCGUGAAGCUGCCAAGUGGGGGCUAGGCGUCGGCGCAGUUUUACGAGAGCUGGGUCGCGCGACAGACGUGAAGAGAGUGGGCCGAGCAGUCCGAAUUGGCCCAGUAUGUGGCUUCCCCAUUUUUUCUUUUUCUUUUAUACUUUCUUUCCCUUUUCUUUCUCUUUUCAAUUUCUAGAAUUCAAAUUUGAAUUCAAUUUUAAUCUGUGAACUUAUAUUCAUUUUUAAAUGUACAAGUUGAACCCAAAUAGGAAGGUUUAACUAAUUUCUUUAUAUUUAUUUUCUUUAUCUUUGUUUAGUAUUCUUUCUUCUCUUGCUCAAAUUCUUGAAUUCCCCUUUAGAGAAUUUGAUAUAUUUCCUUUCACAUUAUUUUAUGUUGUCACGAAAUGCACAAAAUAAAAUCCCAGUAUGAUGCAUGUAUAUUUUUUGGGUGUCUUUUGUCAUUUAUUUAUUUGUUAUAUGUGGUGUUCACAUGAAAUAACAAAUAUAGAUAACAACCAUAUAUAUAAAGGAAUAAAAUUUCUCUUUUUUAGACUUUUCUUACAAAGUGGGUAUUAUAGAAGAGGUAUCCUAGGAUCUAAUCAAAGUCGUCCACUAACGGAUCUACGGCGCAGUGACCAUCCCCUUCCCCCGGCUAAACGAGACGGCGGCGUCGCCCCGACCCCGAGGCGGAGGAUGGCCAGACCUAGGCGAACACGUGCCCAAAUGCUACCAGCCGAUGAAACCCGAGGCGUAUAGGUAAAACAAGGCGCGACGAAAUCAAUUACAUGUUUCUUACCCCGAAUUGGUGCUCGGGCGAUGCUGUCCAUGGAGUUAUGCGGAGUCGCGGCGGCGCGGCAACUACGAUGAGCAAUUCGCAGCGCCCUGGUCGAGGAUUCUCCGAAGCAAGGCUCCAGGUCUCCACGGCGUGCGAUGGCGGAUACCCGCAGUACUUCUUCGGCGGCCCGCCUCAACAGUUGACGACGGUCAAGUGCGACGCGGCGGUGGAUUUGCCCAGCAAGGGUGCAUGGCGUGGAUGGGAAGAAGGGGAAAGGAAAGAGGGGUUGACCGAG